This 498-nucleotide ribosomal RNA is filed under the name Limosilactobacillus fermentum. RNAcentral describes it as "Lactobacillus fermentum partial 16S ribosomal RNA". It matches the Rfam family "Bacterial small subunit ribosomal RNA", at positions 58 to 505 of the family's 1533-position model. The record is from RNAcentral. Lineage: Bacteria; Bacillati; Bacillota; Bacilli; Lactobacillales; Lactobacillaceae.
CAAGUCGAACGCGUUGGCCCAAUUGGAKRWAGAKGGUGCUUGCACCUGAGGAAUUUGGUGGCCAACGAGUGGYGGACGGGUGAGUAACUGUAGGUAACCUGCCCAGAAGCGGGGGACAACAUUUGGAAACAGAUGCUAAUACCGCAUAACAACGUUGUUUYKCMUGAMCAACRCUUAAAAGAUGGCUUCUCGCUAUCACUUCUGGAUGGACCUGCGGUGCAUUAGCUUGUUGGUGGGGUAAYGGCCUACCAAGGCGAUGAUGCAUAGCCGAGUUGAGAGACUGAUCGGCCACAAUGGGACUGAGACACGGCCCAUACUCCUACGGGAGGCAGCAGUAGGGAAUCUUCCACAAUGGGCGCAAGCCUGAUGGAGCAACACCGCGUGAGUGAAGAAGGGUUUCGGCUCGUAWUUUCUCUUUUUGUUAAAGAAGAACACGUAUGAGAGUAACUGUUUCAUACGUUGACGGUAUUUAAACCAGAAAGUCACGGGCUAACUACG